UAAUACGGGGGAUGCGAGCGUUAUCCGGAUUUAUUGGGUUUAAAGGGCGCGUAGGCGGGACGUCAAGUCAGCGGUAAAAGACUGCAGCUAAACUGUAGCACGCCGUUGAAACUGGCGCCCUGGAGACGAGACGAGGGAGGCGGAACAAGUGAAGUAGCGGUGAAAUGCAUAGAUAUCACUUGGAACCCCGAUAGCGAAGGCAGCUUCCCAGGCUCGUUCUGACGCUGAUGCGCGAGAGCGUGGGUAGCGAACAGGAUUAGAUACCCUGGUAGUCCACGCCGUAAACGAUGCUCACUGGAUCUUGGCGAUACACUGCCAGGGUUCAAGCGAAAGUAUUAAGUGAGCCACCUGGGGAGUACGUCGGCAACGAUG
Molecule: ribosomal RNA, 372 nt
Filed under: uncultured bacterium
Lineage: Bacteria
Description: bacterial SSU rRNA
Rfam family: Bacterial small subunit ribosomal RNA
Source: RNAcentral